GGCCUUGUGGCGGAGUGGUUAUACGCGGCGGUCUGCAAAACCGCUUACACCGGUUCAAUUCCGGUCAAGGCCU
Molecule: transfer RNA, 73 nt
Filed under: Patescibacteria group bacterium
Lineage: Bacteria
Description: tRNA-Cys
Rfam family: tRNA
About the family: Transfer RNA (tRNA) molecules are approximately 80 nucleotides in length. Their secondary structure includes four short double-helical elements and three loops (D, anti-codon, and T loops).
Source: RNAcentral